RNAcentral lists this ribosomal RNA (495 nucleotides) under uncultured bacterium. RNAcentral describes it as "partial 16S ribosomal RNA". It matches the Rfam family "Bacterial small subunit ribosomal RNA", at positions 28 to 505 of the family's 1533-position model. The record is from RNAcentral.
GAUGAACGCUGGCGGCGUGCCUAAUACAUGCAAGUCGAGCGAACAGACGAGGAGCUUGCACCUCUGACGUUAGCGGCGGACGGGUGAGUAACACGUGGAUAACCUACCUAUAAGACUGGGAUAACUUCGGGAAACCGGAGCUAAUACCGGAUAAUAUAUUGAACCGCAUGGUUCAAUAGUGAAAGACGGUUUUGCUGUCACUUAUAGAUGGAUCCGCGCCGCAUUAGCUAGUUGGUAAGGUAACGGCUUACCAAGGCAACGAUGCGUAGCCGACCUGAGAGGGUGAUCGGCCACACUGGAACUGAGACACGGUCCAGACUCCUACGGGGGGCAGCAGUAGGGAAUCUUCCGCAAUGGGCGAAAGCCUGACGGAGCAACGCCGCGUGAGUGAUGAAGGUCUUCGGAUCGUAAAACUCUGUUAUUAGGGAAGAACAAAUGUGUAAGUAACUAUGCACGUCUUGACGGUACCUAAUCAGAAAGCCACGGCUAACUACG